CAGGACGACCAAGAGCCUGAUGACAGCUCCUUCCAGAGAGCACAGCCUCAGAUGACACGAAUGAGGGAUAGGGGCUGUUCGGCCUGCGAUGUAGUGCCGCUGUGUGACUUUCAGAGGGGUGUUGGUUGCGGCGUGUGAAUCUGAAGGGCGAGAGGGUGGAUCACGAGGGGCCUGGAUCAUCAGGACACACACACACUCCCUCUGUGACAUCCAAGAGGGUCCGCAUCGCCAAGAACUCCAACCAGUCGAUGGCCCAGCAUGCUCUGCUCUCCACACCCUCGCAGCACGCCUGAAAUCACAGCCCUCCUGCAUCGCCUCAAACUGACAAAUGUAUUGGACAUGUGCGUGAGACGCUAGGUAUUUUUGACCUGACAUCUCCUUCUGAAAGCGCGUCGGGAGUGCAUGAGUGUGUCUGUAAGCCGGAGUGGCCCGAGGCUCUGCUCACUGGAACAAUGCAGAGAUCAAAGCCCAGAGCACUGACAGGUGAUGAGUGGCUUCCCGUGGCCGGAGCGCCGCAGCCAGGCUCACACCUGUACCAGGUGAUUACAGGUAGAUCUGCCUGCCUCUAAUUGGACAAUAAAUGCUGCUCUCAGCUCGCUAAUGGCA
This 606-nucleotide long non-coding RNA is filed under the name Astyanax mexicanus (Mexican tetra). Its description in RNAcentral is "lncRNA (ENSAMXG00005019071.1)". The record is from RNAcentral. Lineage: Eukaryota; Metazoa; Chordata; Actinopteri; Characiformes; Acestrorhamphidae.